Helianthus annuus (common sunflower) is the source of this 107-nucleotide non-coding RNA. NCBI's taxonomy places the organism in Eukaryota, Viridiplantae, Streptophyta, Magnoliopsida, Asterales, Asteraceae. The record is from Rfam.
AUGCUAUGGCGAGGAAACUUAUUGAGAAGUGCUUUGAAGCAGUCCCAUGUGUCAUAGAAAGACUCCCCAGGCUGCUCGGUAAAAACAUAGAUUAUGUUCCUAAGGUG